This 546-nucleotide ribosomal RNA is filed under the name uncultured bacterium. RNAcentral's name for it is "bacterial SSU rRNA". It matches the Rfam family "Bacterial small subunit ribosomal RNA", at positions 777 to 1320 of the family's 1533-position model. The record is from RNAcentral.
AAUAGAUACCCAGGUAGUCCACGCCGUAAACGAUGAGUGCUAAGUGUUAGGGGGUUUCCGCCCCUUAGUGCUGCAGCUAACGCAUUAAGCACUCCGCCUGGGGAGUACGGUCGCAAGACUGAAACUCAAAGGAAUUGACGGGGGGCCCGCACAAGCGGUGGAGCAUGUGGUUUAAUUCGAAGCAACGCGAAGAACCUUACCAGGUCUUGACAUCCCAUUGACCACUAUGGAGACAUAGUUUUCCCUUCGGGGACAACGGUGACAAGUGGUGCAUGGUUGUCGUCAGCUCGUGUCGUGAGAUGUUGGGUUAAAUCCCGCAACGAGCGCAACCCUUGUUCUUAGUUGCCAUCAUUUAGUUGGGCACUCUAAGGAGACUGCCGGUGACAAACCGGAGGAAGGUAGGGAUGACGUCAAAUCAUCAUGCCCCUUAUGACCUGGGCUACACACGUGCUACAAUGGACGGUACAAACGGUUGCCAACCCGCGAGGGGGAGCUAAUCCGAUAAAACCGUUCUCAGUUCGGAUUGUAGGCUGCAACUCGCCUACA